CUGUAGGCUAUGCCGUGCAGUGAUCAGAAUACUAUAGGCUAUGCCGUGCAGUGAUCAGAAUACUGUAGGCUAUGCCGUGCAGUGAUCAGAAUACUGUAGGCUGUGCCGUGCAGUGAUCAGAAUACUGUAGGCUGUGCCGUGCAGUGAUCAGAAUACUGUAGGCUAUGCCGUGCAGUGAUCAGAAUACUGUAGGCUGUGCCGUGCAGUGAUCAGAAUACUGUAGGCUGUGCCGUGCAGUGAUCAGAAUACUGUAGGCUAUGCCGUGCAGUGAUCAGAAUACUAUAGGCUAUGCCGUGCAGUGAUCAGAAUACUGUAGGCUAUGCCGUGCAGUGAUCAGAAUACUGUAGGCUGUGCCGUGCAGUGAUCAGAAUACUGUAGGCUGUGCCGUGCAGUGAUCAGAAUACUGUAGGCUAUGCCGUGCAGUGAUCAGAAUACUGUAGGCUGUGCCGUGCAGUGAUCAGAAUACUGUAGGCUGUGCCGUGCAGUGAUCAGAAUACUGUAGGCUAUGCCGUGCAGUGAUCAGAAUACUGUAGGCUAUGCCGUGCAGUCUGCAAGGUGUUAGCUCUCACUGAAUUGAUUGAUGCAUUUGUUGUGUUCCCUGGCCAUUUAAGCGUUCUUAAGAUCAAGUAUGCUUUUUAUGCGAUUGCAAGUAAUUUGCAAAAGAUUCUUGGUCUAUUUGUAUAUACAUACUGGGCCUUGGCUAUAUAGAGAACCCCUUUUAGGCGAACGCGCACAGAGUCAACUAUCAAACAUCAAAAUCAUCAUCGUUGUACCAUUUAACACCCCUUUAGGCAAUCAGAGUUUGUUAACCCUGACUUUUCUUGAUAACCCUGAGUUAAAUCUGAGUAGUGUUGAACUCCCUUCGUAGUAUACCCCUCUGGUCUCUGUUUGUCUGUCCCGCCACAACUUUUUACAAAUAUCUCCUUUGAUAGGCUCAUUUGGUACCCAAUUAUCUACCCACCUGAUUUUAAUAACUUACUUGAUUUAACCAACACAAAUUUGCGUCCACUGCUGUGCUCCUGCACUAACACCUGAAGUAAUUUUUUCUACUACCUUGACUUUCAAACUGAAAAUGUUUCUUAGUUACUCAUGCAAAAAUAUGAAAACCUGCCAAUUUACUGAUAGUAGACGUUCUCAAAUCAAGUACCUUUAAAUACAGAAACAAGAGAUAAGGUCUUGACAUGGUUAGCUGGUGCCUCAACAGUUAAAAUGAUGCCUGUAUCAAAAGGAGGUUUGUGUGAGAGUUGGAAGUUAUCAGACGAGAAAACCACAUCCUGUUUACUGAUUUCUGUGAAAUGAGGGGUAAGGCAGGACAAAGGCACACAUUUACAAAACAUUUCCUAAUCAGUCAAAAUUUUCACAGGCUCCAAAAUAAAAGCCAUGAACAGCAACGUCACAAUUAAACAGUGACCACCAACACACACAGGGAACUGGGAGAGAUCAUGAGGGAUAAGAUUCAGGUGAACUCAGUCAAAGAACAUAGAAACAGAACAAACAGAACCAAAAUACAUUGAACAUUAAGUAACAGCUGGCAUGGCACAGGCCAGCUGUUACAUUAUGUUCAAUGUAUUUAAGAACAACAUUUAUCAAUGUAAAAUUGCAAUUUAGAGUUUGGGGUCAUAUCAUCUACAGUACAUAUUAUUAUUAAAAGAUUCAGAGAAUCCGGAUAAAUCUCUGUAUGCAAGGGAUAAAAACAAAUAUACAUGGUUGUGAUCUUUGGGGCCACUGUAUUAAAAAUAGACUCAAAUCUGUAAUGGACAUCACUGCAUGGACUCAGGAACACUUCCAAAACUAUUGUCUGUGAACACAGUAUGUUGCUGCAUCCACAAAUGCAAGUUAAAAGUCUACCAUACAGAGAAGAAACCAUGCAUUAACUAGAUCCAGAACCGCUGCUACCUUCUCUGGGCCCAAGCUCAUUUAAGAUGGACUGAGGCAAAGUGGAAAACUGUCCUGUGGUCUGACAAAUUAAAAUGUGAUAUUUUUUUUGGGAAUCGUGGACGCCGCGUCCCCCGGGCUAAAAAGGAAAGGGACCAUCCUGCUUAUCAGUGUACAGGUGAAAAGCCAGCGUCGGUGACUAAUUACCUGAAAAGGUACUGUUACAAUUUGUAAAAUGAUUAGAACUUCUUAAAGAAACUUCUUAAUCUUAAAGAAAACCAAAAAUCAUCCAUGUGCAGCAAAGACAGCUUUGCAGAUUUUUGCAUUCUAGCUGUCAGUUUCUUCACACUAUCAUUGCACCUCGUAUGAUUCCUGUAGCACUUGUUAUAGAUGUGGUUGACUUGUCAGGGCACUUCUCACCCACCUUACAUUCUAGCUGAUCCCAUAAAAGCUCAAUGGUUUCAUCGCUCCUUUCCGAUAAUCUGUUGUCCAAUGUCUGUGUCAUUGCCCACUCAAACGUUUAGUUUUUCCGUUCCUAAAAUGGCUUUUUCUUUGCAAUUCUUCCCAUAGGGCCUGGUCCUCUGAGUCUUCGCUUUACUGUUGUACAUGAAACUGGUGUUGAGCAGGUAGAAUUCAAUGAAGCUGUCAGCUGAGGACAUUUGAGACAGCAACACGGACCAAACAACAGAAGAGCAGCAGCGAGUGAAAGAGAUUUCAGAACUCUGUGGCUUAUAUGCAGGCUGAACCAGUUGCAACGACUGAAGUCAGAAGUCAGCUCUCCAACCAGCCCGAAAACGAUCAUUCAGCUGCAACCGGCGAUCAGGAAGCCAAUUACUAUUAAGAAGCCUGCAACCACCAGACAGAGAAACAAGGCACAAACACACAUACGAACACAGAGCAACAGGAAGCACUGGGGACGUAACGACCGAAUAUGGACCUUAAGACAUGCCAGUCUACUGCAUGCUGUGGCAACUUGAAAACAAACACAAUGUUAAGGUUCAUUUAACAAACCAAACAGCUUUCAGCUGUGUUUGAUAUCAUGGGAAGUGAUUUUCUAGUACCAAAUUAUCCAUUAAGCAUAAUUACUUACGAUAAGGUGUUAGAGUGAUGACUGCAGGAAAUGGGGCCUGACUAGAUUUGUGAUGGUGUCAUAUAGUGAUGGUGCUGUUUUUUUACAUCAAUAAUGUCCUGAUUAUACUUUGUGAUCAACUGAAUGCGACUUUGGUGAAUAAAAGUAUACAGUUCCUUCCUAAAUAGGAAAACCUGUACAUUAUUCCAAACGUUUGGCCACCAGCGUGUACAUACAUUGAUCAGCCAUAACAUUAUGACCAAUGACAGGUGAAGUGAAUAACACUGAUAAUCUCAUUAUCAUGGCACCUGUCAGUGGGUGGGAUAUAUUAGGCAGCAACUGAACAUUCUGUCUUCAAAGUUGAUGUGUUAGAAGCAGGAAAAAUGGUCAAGCGUAAGGAUCUGAGCGACUUUGACAAGGGCCAAAUUGUGAUGGCUAGAUGACUGGGUCAGAGCAUCUCCAAAACGGCAG
Molecule: long non-coding RNA, 3415 nt
Organism: Esox lucius (northern pike)
Lineage: Eukaryota; Metazoa; Chordata; Actinopteri; Esociformes; Esocidae
Source: Ensembl